RNAcentral lists this ribosomal RNA (388 nucleotides) under uncultured bacterium. RNAcentral's name for it is "bacterial SSU rRNA". It matches the Rfam family "Bacterial small subunit ribosomal RNA", at positions 28 to 417 of the family's 1533-position model. The record is from RNAcentral.
GACGAACGCUGGCGGCGUGCUUAACACAUGCAAGUCGAGCGGUAAGGCCCUUUCGGGGGUACACGAGCGGCGAACGGGUGAGUAACAUGUGGGUGACCUGCCCUCAGCUCUGGGAUAAGCCUGGGAAACCGGGUCUAAUACUGGAUAUGACUCCAUGACGCAUGUUGUGGGGUGGAAAGCCUUGUGCGGCUGAGGAUGGGCCCGCGGCCUAUCAGCUUGUUGGUGGGGUGAUGGCCUACCAAGGCGACGACGGGUAGCCGGCCUGAGAGGGCGACCGGCCACACUGGGACUGAGACACGGCCCAGACUCCUACGGGAGGCAGCAGUGGGGAAUCUUGCGCAAUGGGCGAAAGCCUGACGCAGCGACGCCGCGUGAGGGAUGACGGCCU